GACGAACGCUGGCGGCGUGCUUAACACAUGCAAGUCGAACGGAAAGGCCCCUUUGGGGGUACUCGAGUGGCGAACGGGUGAGUAACACGUGCGUAACCUGCCCUUGACUUCGGGAUAACUUCAGGAAACUGGGGCUAAUACCGGAUAGGAAUCCUUGCUGCAUUGUGGGGGUUGGAAAGCUUCGGCGGUUUUGGAUGGACUCGCGGCUUAUCAGCUUGUUGGUGGGGUAGUGGCUUACCAAGGCUUUGACGGGUAGCCGGCCUGAGAGGGCGACCGGCCACAGUGGGACUGAGAUACGGCCCAGACUCCUACGGGAGGCAGCAGUGGGGAAUAUUGCACAAUGGGCGGAAGCCUGAUGCAGCAACGCCGCGUGCGGGAUGACGGCCUUCGGGUUGUAAACCGCUUUCAGCAGGGGCGAAGCUUGUGGUGACGGUACCUGCAGAAGAAGCACCGGCUAACUACGUG
RNAcentral lists this ribosomal RNA (465 nucleotides) under uncultured bacterium. RNAcentral describes it as "partial 16S ribosomal RNA". It matches the Rfam family "Bacterial small subunit ribosomal RNA", at positions 28 to 507 of the family's 1533-position model. The record is from RNAcentral.